This 1217-nucleotide long non-coding RNA is filed under the name Homo sapiens (human). RNAcentral's name for it is "HSALNT0363209". The record is from RNAcentral. Lineage: Eukaryota; Metazoa; Chordata; Mammalia; Primates; Hominidae.
CGCGAGCCACUGCACCCGGCUCCACUCCACUCCUUGUUGCUGUCGGGUGGGACAGCAAGGCUGGAGCCCAGCAUCCAAUUAGGAAACAAGGUGGAAAUCCAGGGCCAAGCCCCAUGGCUGCCAGUUGCCCUCGUAAUUAAAGACACACACAUUAAAGACAGCUCCGAGGUGCCAUUAAACAUCCAUUAAACUGGCAAAAAAUAAAUCCAAAAGGUAAAACUCAACUCUAGUUGGCAACUGCAGCAGAGAACACAGCACAGGUCACAGGUGGCUCAGAGGCAACAGCCCUCACACCUGGCUCCCUGUCCCUGCCCUGAAUUGUUCCAUGUGGGAACUGGGCCACACUGGUCAGCUUCAUCAAAGAUAGAUUUGCCAAAUUGGCAUACAAUUCACAUGUCAUAAAAUUCACUCUCUAAAAGCGUACAAGUCAGCACGGUCUCAGAAUUUCCUGAGACCAAUAAAACCUCCGGAGCCCUUUGACCCAGCACUCCAGCGUUUGGGAAUAAGCCCUGUAGAAGGAGCCCAAGAGGAAACAAAAAUAGAAGUGUGUCCAAAGCUGGAAGCUGCCCCAGCCAAACACUGGAAACACCCAGCUCUCCACCAAGAUAAACCACGCGAGCCACAGCUUGCGGGCAAUAUCCCAUCUCCAUCCUCACCACUGCUCAGCCCAGACCUCCCUCAUCUUCCUGGCCUGCAGACCUUAGCAGUGGCUGUUCCCACCCCUGGAACACCCUUCCCACCUGGUACCUGAUGCCUGCAGGGCCCAUGCACGGCAUAUUCACUGCUGUAUCCCCAGAGCCUCGCACAGUGCCUGGUGCAGAGAUGAUUUUCAGCAAAGAGGCACUGAAGGGAAGAUACCUAUGUGACUGUGAGGAGACACAGGCUGGACGAUGAAUGUGAUGGCUGGAACUCAAGCAGCCACAGUGGAUCAUAAGGGACGGUGUCUUGCUAUGUUGUCCAAGCUGGUCUCAAACUGGCCUGAAUCAAUGCUUCCACCUCAGCUGCCAGAGGAACCGGGAUUACAGGCCUGAGCCACUGCAGCCAGCCAGUUUGUUAUUUUAAUGUAAAUUCUUAGUAAACAACUCAGGAGCUCUCUUGUCCUUUUAAAAUCCAUUUCAACUUCUGCUAAUCGGAGUGUAUAUUCAGGGCAACUUGAAUCUGUGCUCCUGGGAUGCAAUCCUCAAGCUUGGCCCAAAUAAAGUCUCCGCUGAUAUUAA